RNAcentral lists this ribosomal RNA (471 nucleotides) under Oidiodendron sp. YT-2016-3. RNAcentral's name for it is "eukaryotic LSU rRNA". The stretch from base 174 to 327 matches the Rfam family "5.8S ribosomal RNA". The record is from RNAcentral. Lineage: Eukaryota; Fungi; Ascomycota; Leotiomycetes; Myxotrichaceae.
AUUACAGAGUUCAUGCCCUCCGGGUAGAUCUCCCACCCACUGCUAUCACUACUCUCGUUGCUUUGGCGGGCCGCUGGGCCCUGCCCGGCCGCCGGCCCCGGCUGGCGCGUGCCCGCCAGAGACCUCACAGACUCUGAAUGUUAGUGUCGUCCGAGUAACUAUACAAUCGUUAAAACUUUCAACAACGGAUCUCUUGGUUCUGGCAUCGAUGAAGAACGCAGCGAAAUGCGAUAAGUAAUGCGAAUUGCAGAAUUCAGUGAGUCAUCGAAUCUUUGAACGCACAUUGCGCCCUGUGGUAUUCCGCAGGGCAUGCCUGUUCGAGCGUCAUUUCAACCCUCAAGCCUCGCUUGGUGUUGGGCCCUGCCCGCCGCGGCCGGCCCUAAAGAUAGUGGCGGCGCCGCCUGGCCCUCAGCGUAGUACAGCUCUCGCUCCAGGGUCCGGCGGCAGCCUGCCAGAACCCCCCAACUCUGU